This is a long non-coding RNA of Taeniopygia guttata (zebra finch), 5174 nucleotides long. The record is from Ensembl. Lineage: Eukaryota; Metazoa; Chordata; Aves; Passeriformes; Estrildidae.
CAUCUGUCCUGGCUGCUUUGCCUCUGGCCUUUUGUCACAGCUUCAUAUGCCCCGACACAUCUGUAGGCAAAUCAGUUCAGAGCACAGGGGUUGUCCAGAAUCUCCCUCCCAUCUAUCCUGUGCCUGGUUAGCUGCCUGUAGUCAGCCCUUGUGUUGUGCCAAGUCAAGCCACAGGGACUUCUGGACUGACACACUGCUGUCACCAGCCCUAGAGAAUCCAUUGGUGCUGCCUGUGGUCCCAGAUGCUUACAUAUUAUUUAUGUCCCUGCUCUGCCAGCCAGUUUGAGUCUCUUGCGCAGAAGUUAGAUAAAGCCACACAGGCUGUGUCCAUCUCAGCAGUGGUGUGUGGUCAGUGGGCUGCCUUUGCCAUCACAGACCUGCCAUCAGCAUGGAAACAGCAGCUUGUGGAAGGGGGCAGCUCCUCUGUUACCAGUGCCAGAUGGUGUCAGUGGGGCUGGCUCUGUGGCCAUUCCAGGCUUGGCCUUUUAAAAGUCAGUGUCAGUGUUCUGCUGAGAGCCCUGUCCUAUCACUGUGUAUUACCAUGUGCUGCCAGGCUUCAGCUUCUGAAUCUGUAUCCUGGCAGGACACUUUCUGCUCCUUUUUGGUUUACUUGUCCAUCCCCCAGUGACCAGGUGUUGGGUAAUAACUGGCAUCUCCCAGAUCUUGCUGUGUCUGUGUACCACUCACAAAUGAAGUUUCUUCAAAUGGAAGUUAAUUUACUUGGAGCUCUACCCAAGUCUGCUUGGAGCUGCUGGGAGCCUUUGUUUAGGCUCUUUCUCUUUUUAACCUGUGCAUCAAAACACUUUCCAAGCAGCCUUCAUGCUGUCCUCACCAAGGAAAGAAACCUCUCAAAGGUGCUGUACCAAUAUGGAUUUUCCCUGCCCAAGUUAGAGGUGUAACAGGCCAGCAGGAAUCCACCAGGCACCAGGAGCUGCUGUCUUUCAAAAAGACAAACUGCUGUCAGUCACAGUGGCUCCCCCCAUGCAGUCCAGCUCCUGCUGUGCCCUGAGCUCAAUGGAUGCUCCGAUGCCUCUCUGGGGGCUGCAACUCCCAGGUCCAGCACUGGCCAGCCCAUCUGUGUGCCAGUCAUGGGCUGCCAGUGCCAGCUUUGCUUCCUGACACUUUAUACAGCCCAAAAUCUGCAGAGCAAAGAGAAGACAGUUCCCUCUUUCCAUAGAGUGUAUUUAAUUUGCACUGCUCCUUUCUCACCACAGCCAGUGUCAUCAGUGCCCUUUUAUUUCAGGGAUGGCCAAGGAGCUGUGCAGUCCCCAUCUCACCACUUGGAGCAAGGGGAGGUUUGGGCUUUCCCACUCUGCCCACCCACAAGCACCUUCCUGGAAGCUCUCCUCAGAUUCAGGUCCUCCACCUCUCCCUCAUGAGACCAAGGAUUUGACACUGUUUUUAACCAGUCAGUCCUUUUGUGUGGAUUAGCCAGCUUGGGUAAUGUUUGCACUUUACCCUUUGCUGUCUGCUGGUUGUGGAUUUAUUUUUGGAGCUAAUAUCACUGCUUUUCUUUAAAUUUUCUCCCCAAAGGUUGUCCUGAACCACCUGCACUCUCUGUAUAAAAUAAAUAAAUGGCCUUGGCUGUUUGCAGGUAGAUGUUUUAUCCACCUUCCACCAAAACUUUGAUAAUGCCAUGAAGGAUCCCUCUGCACUAAUGGUGCCAACACAGUCCUUUACAUCCCUACUGGAGGAUUUCUUUGUUCCUUCCCUGCACCAUCUUUUUGUAUGUGCUGCUUGUAACCAAAGGGCUUGUGCUCCAUUUCUCACAGCCCACAGCACUCCUUGCUUCUGUAAUGCAGGCUCUGAGUUCCCUCUUCCAUUUGAGCUGAAAACUAUUAAAGGCCAUUGAGAGCUUCAGAACCAGCUGGGAUUUUUCUAGCAAAGUUUUUUUUUUUUAAUUAUUUUUUUUUCCUACUGUGUUCACAUCCAUCACUUGCAGCUUGGGAGUGAAACAGUGCUCCAGUCUUGUCCUGUCAACUCUCUGAGGAGAAGGCUGAGCUUUUAGCUUUUCCAUUAAACCCUUAUCUGUGAUGCUUUUGGUCCUAAUGUUCAUUGUUCAGCAUCCCUUGAAGCCUGGGAUUUUGGUUCCUUUCUUUGGGUUUUUACUUCAGUUUGCUCAGCAUUUUUUAGCUGGUGUCACUGUAUCAUACCUCCUGGGGUCCACUGACCUGUUGGGUUGAAAAUGAGCAGAGAAGUCAUCCCAGUGGUUUUAAAAGAUGCUCAACUCUGAAAGGUUUGGGCUUCUUUAAAGCUUAGGGAAGAGCAGGCACUUUUUCAUGCAAAGGUGUAUUUUUCAUGCUUAACUGCAUCCUGCUCUGUCUGGGAGGGGAUGCUCCCAGGUCAAAGCAGCUCCACCAUCCACAGCACUUUGUGCCUGCUUGCCUCUGGCUCUGUGUUUCCUAGCUUGGAUUUCUCUGCUCUUGGCCUCUCCUUGGUGGGUCUCUCACAGCUGUGAUACUCACUCAGAGGUAAAUAUUGCCUCCAGCAAUUUAUUUUACCAGUCUCAUGUCGUUGCUUGUGGUGACACCAAUCAUGGAAUUUAUUUUGCCUUUUCAGUCUCCACUGUUUUUACAGGUUGCUGCUGUGAUUUCUCUUGAUUCAGACUGUCAAGCUCUUGCCAUUUUUGUCUUCCUCCUCAUGGCUUCCCAUUAUCAAUGCUGUACUUGGAGUCCAAGUGCCCUUCAUGCCCCAAAUCUGCAAGAUAAGUAAACUUAGAAAAUCAUUAGGGCGGACUUUGACCGCUCCUGUCUCCAUCAAAGACUAGGAUUAAAUUAAGUCCCUUUGAUAAACUGAGCUGAUGGGCCCAUUUGGAGUGCACAUGUGGUAUUAUGGGCCUCGUGGGACUUAUGAUUAAAAGACACGAGAGAACACAAUUAUUUAGAGAGCUACCAGGAGAUUGCUGUAGCUCACUAGUCACUUCUUUAUCAGAACAAAAGAAGAGUCCAAUUCUCCAGGGUGACAGGCAGCUCCUGGGAAGUGUCCAUAGGUCUCUAAUUGCUGCGGGAGGCGCAGCUCCCGCUUUGAUGUGUGCUGGAACACUGCGGGAGGGUGCCGGAGAAAGCCACUCCAGCCACUUCUGUCCCCAAGGCACUUGGUCCAGGACUGAAACCUUCCACACAGCUGGCUUCUUUUAUCUCUUUUUACGGUUCCUUGGGUUGUUGGUUGGUUUUUUUUGUUUUUUUCUUUCUUUUUUUUUUUUUUUCCCCACCAUAAACUGCAGUUGCUUUUGCAGCAAGAUAGAGCUCAGCUGGGUUUCUUUGCUGGACUGUGAUCACAUCCUGACCAGCACAGGGAGCUUGGUGCAACCAGAGCUGACUCCCUGCACCAAAUCUUCAAGGCAGGGCUGGGUCUUGACCCAACAGGAAAAGUCAUUUUAGCUUAGGCUCUGCAGCAAGCCCUGGAGAUGAGGAAUGUCUGACUGGACACAAAUACAAUUUUGCGUGUUGUUUUUUUUUUUUUUUCCCUCGGGGUCAGGCUAUUGAGUCAGGGCUGGAUAGCAUAUAUAAUUGUAGCAAGGCUAUUUUUCUCUUUUAUUUUUUUUUUAAAAGGAACAUUCAUGCUGCAUUUUAAUUACAACGUUUAGAACAUGUCCAAAUAACUUGAGCUCAAAUUGAUCUUGUUUUUCAGGAAGCUUGUUUUUCAUCUAUUAUUAUAAUAAAUGUGCUAUUGAUAGUAGUUUAGGUGCAAUACAGCAAAGCUUUGUGUUAUACAUCAGCUCUGAAGGCUCAAAAUUUUCUUAUUAUCCAUUAUUGACAUGACAGUUUACAAAUAUUUAACAAACAAAUUACCAGGUUUUCCUUGUUCCCUCUUAGUUUGCAGUCUCAGUCCUCUUGACAGCUGAAUUCAGGAUUAAUGAUGAUCUUGUUUAAGAUGAUUGUUUGCUAGCAAAUAGGUUUAUUCUCUAAACCUACAAGUACAGUAGAAGAACUAACACUGACACUUUGAAUUAAAUCUCAUCCUAAAAGCAAAUUUUUUAGCUUUAUUCCAUCCAGUUCUCUGAAGAAGAAAUUGGAUUUGCCUGGUAAAAUGCUUAGACCUGUUAAUAAUUUUUUAGUUUAUGUAGUCAUUUUAAAUAUAGAUACUUAACAUGAAGGGCUGGCAAAAGGAGUAUUUUUUCUCUGCCAGCCCUGAGCUUGCUGGGUCUAGUCAGGCUGUAAAUGUUUUAGAAUGCUUUCUGAACACAAGCAGAGGAGCAAAGAGACCACCCUGACCCUCCAUGGAAAAGAGAGAUCCAGAAGGACAAGUUGGAUUUGCUUCUCUGUACAGCACUGGAGGCAGCACAUGGAAACUUUGAGCCCAGGUCCUGGGAGUGAUAAAGCACAUCCCUGCUUUGCAGCAGCUGCUUCUCCACCUGCUCCAGGUCUGAGCAUGGGGUGAAGGGCACAGAAAGGGGGGGAUGGCCAACAUCUGCCUGGGAAGGUUGCUGCUGCUGUGGAUGGCUGCAGGUGAAGCAAGGAAGGUACUACACCCCCUGGGAAAGCAUCCCUAGAGGAAUCAGGGGCAUCUUCUGGGAGGAAGCACAGCGGAGGAAUAGAGACUGAAAGAGUGUGUGAAGCACCCCCUUCAGAGCACGUCCUGGGCACUGGGCCAUCCCUGCCCUGUGCUUUCUGAUCUUGGGCUUUGCAUGCACAAUACAGGAAUUCACUGGUGUGUGGGCCUGGCUUUGGAGAUGAGAAGUGAAUUUGUUCUCAAGAAAAAUCACUCAUUGUUGGCAGAAAAUCUGUGAGUUGGGUUCCCCAAGGGCAUAGUGUUUGAAAAUCACAGAUGAUUAAAAGAUAACACAUUUGAGGGAUUGUUUGGUUUUGUUUGGUGUUUUGCUUGGGUUUUUUGCUUCAUUUUUGUUGUUGUUUGUUUGUUUGUUGUUUUGUUGUUGUUUUUGUUCUUGUGGAAGGCGUAUGGGUUUUUUGCCUUUUGGGUAUGGCAAACUAAAUGCCACACAUAAAUUUCUCCACAACUGACCUGGCCACAAUUUUUUUUUGUUUUAACACAGGAAAAUCUGAGACUCUCAUUAAAAGAGGAGGUCUCCCACCUGAGUUCUGAAAUACCAAAUGCCACACUAGCAAAAAUGACUUGGCAGGUUUGAGUGUAGUUUAUCACAUCAAUCUUAAACAAAGAUAAACCAAAUCAAAUCAGACUUGAUGAAAUUGAAUAAAAACAUGCUUGGCUAGAAA